This 440-nucleotide ribosomal RNA is filed under the name uncultured bacterium. Its description in RNAcentral is "partial 16S ribosomal RNA". It matches the Rfam family "Bacterial small subunit ribosomal RNA", at positions 338 to 795 of the family's 1533-position model. The record is from RNAcentral.
CCUACGGGAGGCAGCAGUGGGGAAUAUUGCACAAUGGGGGAAACCCUGAUGCAGCGACGCCGCGUGAGUGAAGAAGGAUUUCAGUAUGUAAAGCUCUAUCAGCAGGGAAGAAAAUGACGGUACCUGAUUAAGAAGCCCCGUCUAACUACGUGCCAGCAGCCGCAGCAAUACGUAGGGGGCAAGCGUUAUCCGGAUUUAAUGGGUGUAAAGGGAGCGUAGACGGGAGCACAAGUCUGGAGUGAAAUGCCGGGGCUUAACCCCGGAACUGCUUUGGAAACUGUGCAGCUAGAGUGCAGGAGAGGUAAGUGGAAUGCCUAGUGUAGCGGUGAAAUGCGUAGAUAUUGGGAGGAACACCAGUGGCGAAGGCGGCUUACUGGACUGUAACUGACGUUGAGGCUCGAAAGCGUGGGGAGCAAACAGGAUUAGAUACCCUGGUAGUC